This 4187-nucleotide unclassified non-coding RNA is filed under the name Hevea brasiliensis (rubber tree). The record is from RNAcentral. Lineage: Eukaryota; Viridiplantae; Streptophyta; Magnoliopsida; Malpighiales; Euphorbiaceae.
AAAGAAACCUUCCAAAUGCACUUGGGAGAACCCUAAUUUGGAAUCUCCUGUCACGAACUGCUCGCCACUGCCACCUCGUACAGCGGUCGAGAACGAGAAGGCUGCCCCACGGCUGCUUUCUACCACCUUGGAACUGCACCAUAAACUCACAGAAAGGCGGGAGGACAGCGACCACACUGACGUGGAAUUGGAAAGGAGUGUUCGGCCAAAUGCAGCAGUUUCUGAGUUUGGGUGAUUCGUUGGCAGAAUUGAAGUUGCUGAUGGAGAGUUUUCACAGUAAUGAGAAUUUUGUUUCAUUUCAAAUAGUUUAGCGAAUUCUUUUUGAUAAUUGAAGCACAAGAAGGGGUCUUCUGAGAUGUUUUUACUUAAGCAUCACAUCAUGAAUUCUUGGUGCAUUGGAAUUAAUUUUAGUCAUUAAUUCAUUAUCACUGGAUAUAGAAUCAGAAUAAGAAAGAUCAGUAGGAGUAACGGAUAAUAGGAAGGGGAUGCUUACUUUCUAUUCUCUUUCCUGCUGUAUAGCUCAACCCACAAAAGGCUUACAAUCUUCACCUUCUCUGCCUUUCUUUCCUGGAAACCCUAGAAAAAGAGGAUUCCCUUCUAAGGUACUUUUGAGAAUCUUUACAGUUCAUUCUGGUUCCACUGGAAAUUCGAGUGGUGAAAACCAAAGCCAAAGAAUUAAUUAUUCUGGUAUGAGACUAGAGGAGACUGUACAGGCCAAGUUAGGAAAGUUGAGGCUUGAUUCUUGGAUCUCUUCUCGCAUUUCUGGCAUCAGUAGAGCUCGCAUCCAGUCAAGUAUUAAAUCAAGGCUGGUUUCUGUCAAUGGCAGAGUUGUCGAUAAGGUCAAUUUGCUCUACGCUUGAUGCUAUUCCACUCUCUCUUGAUUUUCAUAUUGUUGUUAGCAUUAGGUUGUUUUGGUUGUUUUGAGGACGGUCAGACUGCCAAUUUAUUCUUUAUUAAUUUCUAAGCCUUGAUGCCAUAUUCAUUGAGCUGUUCAAUUUUAUGUGUUGCAACUGCUUUGACAAUAUGCUUCUAUAAUCUGAUAUUUAAAUUAGAAAUUCGACAAUGCGCUUCUAUAAUCUGAUAUUUACAUUAGAUAUUCAACUUCAUUUGUUAACACAAGUAAAUUAUAGUUGAAUUUUAAUUUCUUUUAAUCUUCUGAAUUAUUUUGGGUAAAAGACUCAUGCCUUAGUUGUUUCUUGUUAUGCACACAAUUUGUGUCCAGUUCUUGGUGAAUGCAGAUUUUUGAGUUUCACUCAUGCUUUAGCAGGUUUCACACAAUGUCAAGGAUGGGGAUAAGGUCUCCUGCACAAUUUCAGAGUUGCAACCCUUGAGGGCUGAACCUGAGGACAUACCUUUGGAUAUAGUCUAUGAAGAUGAGCAUUUACUAGUUGUCAAUAAGCCUCCGCACAUGGUUGUUCAUCCAGCACCUGGGAAUCCUAGUGGCACACUUGUAAAUGGCAUACUUCAUCAUUGCAGUCUUCCAACAGUUGCAACUUCAAGCUUGGAAGUUCUUUCAGACAUGGAAGAUAUUUCUGUUGAUGAAGGGUCACAUUCUACCCUAUGUGGCGCAUCUGUUCGCCCAGGGAUAGUUCACAGGUUGGACAAAGGCACUAGUGGAUUGCUUGUAGUUGCUAAGGAUGAACAUGCUCAUGCCCAUUUGUCUGAACAAUUCCAGCAACACACUAUCCAGAGGAUAUACGUUAGUCUUACUUCUGGUGUGCCCUCUGCAUCAAUGGGACGUAUUGACAUCCCUAUUGGUCGUGAUGUUAAUAACAGAAUUCGUAUGACUGCUAUACCUGGACCAAUUAAGCAGGGACAGGCACGUCAUGCUGCUAGUAUAAAGUAAUUGAAAUACUUGCUGGUGGCGGUUCAGCAUUGGUUGAGUGGAGGUUAGAAACUGGACGUACUCAUCAGGUAUUUGUAAUCUAUAAGUAUAGAUCACAAUGAUAGUUGGACAUUAUAUUCAACACAUUCUAUCGGUGAAUAAAAGCAUCAUCAAAUAAGAAAAAUGAAUUUGAAGUACAAUAAGGAGAGAGUUAAUUCUGUUAAUAGCCAAAUAAUCUAAUUCUAAAAAAAUGGUACUUUACCCAUUUUAAUAUCUAUUUUUCUUUUUGAAAACAUGACUCUCAGCAGCCUUUAUCAUUAGUAUUUUUCCAUGUUCUUGUUCUCUUUGUAGGUUGCAUGUGAUAUUGCUCCAUGUUUUGGGGCUUAUUCAUUCAGUUAUAAUUGUUGCUUAUAUGAAAGUGAUGUGUUUCUGAGAAAAAAUUGGAGCUAUUGCUUGCAUCUCUGUUGCUUUGUUCAGGAAGCAGUGAAAGUGGGGCAAGGGAAAGAAAAAGAGGAGAAAAUGUGAAAAUAUUCCCACUUUCUCUUGGUUGGGAAAGUGGUGAAAUUUGAAGAAGAGAAAAAUGAUGGAAAACUUUGUCCCUUGGCAUACCAAACCUCCCAUCCGAAUUUGGAGAGGAAAUAGGGUGACAAUUUCGGAAUUUACUAUUUUAUUCUUAUAAUUAAUUCUUUCUAGGAAAAAGCAAACGCCAAUAAAAAAAAUUUUUCUUCUUAUUUCUCUCCCCUUUUUUCUUCUUUAUUUCCAAAACAAGAGGAGAGAAUUAUUUUCUUCCACAUCACUCUUUAUCUUUCCAUUUUCCUCCCUCCUUUUUUUUGCCCUCUUGCAUUUUUUCCCAAGAAAAGGGUGAGUUACUGAAAUGUGUAUCCUAUUGAUAUUGCUCUUUCUAAGCUUUAGAAAUCCCCCUGCCAUUUGAUUCCUGAAUGAUGGUUAUUUUUGUCACAAGUCUUACAGAUAUAUCCUUUGGUGAACCCAUAUGAUUAAUUAUAAUUUCUAAGGCCCGUCAUGUAUUCAGAAACAUAUUUUACAUGUGAUCAUAUGGGGUAGUCUUUAUGCAAUGGUUAGGUUGCUCCAUUAUGACUUGGUAAAGCAUGUUCAUAUCACAGAAAAAACCUACUUGCACUGCAACUAAAGGCUGUAUACAAGGGAUUCCUCUUAUCUAAGAUGUGAUUACAAUAUAAAUAUAUUCCAAAGCAAUUAGGUAGUUCCGGACUCCCUAAAUUGUUGACCUUGCGGUGGCGGCCUGCACAACUAUCAUUUCCAUAUGGUUGAUUAAGAGUUCUAAUCUCAUAUGGUUUUUAUCCUCUUACCUUAUAUUACUUCUUCGUAGCAGAUUCGUGCACAUGCAAAGUAUAUUGGAAUUCCUCUAUUAGGUGAUGAAGUUUAUGGAGGCACCAAAAGUUUGGCUUUGUCACGGCUUCGACCCAGAAUUCCCCCUAGCUGUCUCAGUCAACUUUCAUUAUUGCUGUCAGGAUUAGAGAGGCCUUGUCUACAUGCUUUGGCUCUAGGGUUAGGCCAUUAGAUGUUAAAGCUUGAUCUCAUUAUUUGCUGCUUCUUCAAAAAUGUCAUUUGGUGAUGCAGAAUAGUUUUCUCUGCCCUUUAUUUUGUAGGUUCACGCAUCCACACACAGGGGAAGAAAUAAACUUUUCUCGUCCACCUCCUCCAGAUUUUACUGGGAUCUUGAGCCAGCUUCGUAAAAUGGGCAUGGAAAAGGUGUUCCCUCUAAAAUACUAUUCUCUGAUCAAGCAUUAGUUUUUAUAUGUAUAGUUGCUGUUUAUCUGUGUUCAUGACAUUUGCAGUUCUCCAAAUUCAUCUUAAAACCUGGGUGGCAAUUUAUGCAGGUUUAAUCAGUUGAAGUUUUCCUGAUGGGCAGCCCAAUUAAGAUAAUUAUAAACUGUUCAAUUUUUUUUCUGAAACACUGGCCUGUGAGAACUCAGUUCUUUAUGCUAGAUCGCAAAUGGAAGACAGUAUACAAACAUUGAAAAAUACAGAGCAAGUGGGUAACUGUUGCUGGGGUGCAAGAUUCUGGCAUGUUAUGGAAGGCAAUUCCAAUUUCCACUUUGAUUUUGUUGUCAGUAAUUGCAUUUCUCUUCAUCAACCAUAGAAGACUUAAAGUCUCUUUGUAACCUUGGUAUGUUGGAGUCACACGUCGCUUUUUAACCAAAAAGGUCUGCAAGCUUGACUGUCUGAGAGAGAGAGAUUACCCAUUUUUAUACGUCUGUUGAUGAAAUUAGUUGGUCAUUGGGAAAAAAAGUAGAUCAAGUAUAAAAAGUGUUAUCAGAAAGAUUUUGAUUUAAUAUAUAUCAUUUUUGUUUAUUGCAUUUAUCUCAAAAAUAAGUAUUCCAAG